GACGAACGCUGGCGGCGUGCUUAACACAUGCAAGUCGUACGGUAAGGCCCUUUCGGGGGUCCACGAGUGGCGAACGGGUGAGUAACACGUGAGUAACCUGCCCACAACUUUGGGAUAACGCUAGGAAACUGGUGCUAAUACUGGAUAUGUGCUCCUGCUGCAUGGUGGGGGUUGGAAAGCUCCGGCGGUUGUGGAUGGACUCGCGGCCUAUCAGCUUGUUGGUGGGGUAGUGGCCUACCAAGGCGGCGACGGGUAGCCGGCCUGAGAGGGUGACCGGCCACAGUGGGACUGAGAUACGGCCCAGACUCCUACGGGAGGCAGCAGUGGGGAAUAUUGAACAAUGGGCGCAAGCCUGAUGCAGCAACGCCGCGUGCGGGAUGACGGCCUUCGGGUUGUAAACCGCUUUCAGCAGGGACGAAGCUUUUUGUGACGGUACCUGCAGAAGAAGCACCGGCUAACUACGUG
RNAcentral lists this ribosomal RNA (465 nucleotides) under uncultured bacterium. Its description in RNAcentral is "partial 16S ribosomal RNA". It matches the Rfam family "Bacterial small subunit ribosomal RNA", at positions 28 to 507 of the family's 1533-position model. The record is from RNAcentral.